GUUUGAUCCUGGCUCAGAGCGAACGUUUGCGGCGGGCUUAACACAUGCAAGUCGAACGAGAAUCCCUUCGGGGAGGAAAGUGGCGCACGGGUGCGUAACACGUGGAUGACCUACCCCUUGGUUCGGGACAACAGCGGGAAACUGCUGCUAAUACCGGAUGUGUCGUAGCAAUACGAGAAAGGCCCGCAAGGGUCGCCAGAGGACGGGUCCGCGUCCCAUCAGCUAGUUGGUGAGGUAAUGGCUCACCAAGGCGAAGACGGGUAGCUGGUCUGAGAGGAUGAUCAGCCACACUGGAACUGAGACACGGUCCAGACUCCUACGGGAGGCAGCAGUGGGGAAUAUUGCGCAAUGGGCGAAAGCCUGACGCAGCCACGCCGCGUGAGCGAUGAAGGUCUUCGGAUCGUAAAGCUCUGUGGGGGGGAGAAGAAGAAAGUCGGUGAAGAGCCGGCCCUGACGGUAUCCCCUUAGCAAGCACCGGCUAACUCCGUGCCAGCAGCCGCGGUAAUACGGAGGGUGCAAACGUUG
RNAcentral lists this ribosomal RNA (525 nucleotides) under uncultured bacterium. Its description in RNAcentral is "bacterial SSU rRNA". It matches the Rfam family "Bacterial small subunit ribosomal RNA", at positions 11 to 543 of the family's 1533-position model. The record is from RNAcentral.